This 253-nucleotide ribosomal RNA is filed under the name uncultured bacterium. RNAcentral's name for it is "partial 16S ribosomal RNA". It matches the Rfam family "Bacterial small subunit ribosomal RNA", at positions 524 to 776 of the family's 1533-position model. The record is from RNAcentral.
UACGGAGGGAGCUAGCGUUGUUCGGAAUUACUGGGCGUAAAGCGCACGUAGGCGGCUUUGUAAGUUAGAGGUGAAAGCCCGGGGCUCAACUCCGGAACUGCCUUUAAGACUGCAUCGUUUGAAUCCAGGAGAGGUGAGUGGAAUUCCGAGUGUAGAGGUGAAAUUCGUAGAUAUUCGGAAGAACACCAGUGGCGAAGGCGGCUCACUGGACUGGUAUUGACGCUGAGGUGCGAAAGCGUGGGGAGCAAACAGG